UGUUGAUGCCCCUUUUACGCACGAAUUUCCUGUACAGUUUGGAGCUCCCCUGGGCGUCUGGGCUGGUCGCCAAGGCUCCCCCCCACAAGGCCUCAAGGCAUGAGAGGAGGACGGGGGAGCUGAGGAUUGUGAGCGUCUGGGCUGAGUGCGGACCGGCUCCCCCCUGCCGUGGGCACACGCCCCCCCACAGCCCCCCGGCAGCCCCCCCCCCGCCAUGCGCGCGCGCGCGUGUGUGUGUCCUGGGCCCGCGGGCCGCAGCCUGCGCUGUUAGCAGGAUUGCCUGCUGACUCGGGCCUUUCUGGAACUUCCCUCCCCCGGACAGGACGGGCCAGCGCUGUGCCUGCACAUCCUCUGUUCUGUCCCCGACACAAAGCGGGGCCAUUGUCCCCCCAAAUCCCGCUGGCGAUUACCUCCCUUUUGUCUCUCCCGCGAGGGUAUUUGGCAGAAAGCUGAGAGAGGGGAUUUUUCCCAUGGAAGGGCUUCCACCCGGACGAGAUGACCGGUGUGCGCCCCGGCCUUCCAGCACAAUCCCGUCUGCUCGCAGCUUCCAGGCCCUCUUCAGGAUCGGGACGCCUGCCCCGGGGGCCACCACAGCGCCGCCGCCCCCCCACCGAGAGAGCCGCGCUCAACACAGCGCUCGUGAGGCUGCUCGGAAAACAUUCGUGGACACAGAGAAAAGAAAUCCUCUUGUGUGAACUGUCCUGGGUGCGAUGGUCCCUAGACAGACCUCUGGGAAGAGGAGGAAGGACUCCGAAGGGCUACGGAGCAGGCAGGCAGGACAGGAGCUGAGAGAGAGACGGGAGAGAGGCAGCAGCACGAGCUCCUGUCCUCCUGGGAGCACACUGCCCUACUUCGCUCUGUUAGAAGUAGGUUACUACUCCUUCUAUUCUUGCUGCUCUGUGUGGGCUUUUUUUAGACUAGGCUGAAGCCCUGGCAGGAGCUACUCGUGGUACAGGGAAGACAGCGGAGGCUCUCAGCUGAUUGGUGCCAACUCUCUCGGUGACUCUCUACUCUCUCCUCCAGGGCGCUGGUUUAAUUGCUGGAGGGGCUUCAUAGGAAACACGUGCGAGACGGGGUACUGCUGGCACUCAAAUACCAGGAGGAUCACAGAGAGGGGGCGUACAGGAACGGAGGCCUGUCCUGUCCAAAACUGAGAACACGGGCACGCAGGGUUCUGCUUUCGUGCGGCAUCUCUGCAGUUGACAGCACACUUUGGAAACAGCUGGGUAGACGCCAGUGCAGAUCCUGUGCACCAUGUCUGAACUCGCUGGGAUGAGCCUUGUAGGACCCAGAACAGGACCUGUAUCUGUCUUCACACAGGCUGCCAUCACAUCAUCCAGGUGGGGGCUGUGCAUAGGUGGUGGUGGAGGGGAGUCCCUAUUACCUGUAAAGUGCUUUGAGUGGAGUGUCCAAAAAAAAAGCACUGUUUAAGUGUAAGUAAUUGUAUUGCAGAACAUGUUUUUAAGUGCUUGGAGCUGAGCAGUAAUAAAACAUACGUCACACA
This 1504-nucleotide long non-coding RNA is filed under the name Lepisosteus oculatus (spotted gar). RNAcentral's name for it is "lncRNA (ENSLOCG00000022502.1)". The record is from RNAcentral. Lineage: Eukaryota; Metazoa; Chordata; Actinopteri; Semionotiformes; Lepisosteidae.